UACGUAGGGUGCAAGCGUUAAUCGGAAUUACUGGGCGUAAAGCGUGCGCAGGCGGUUGUGUAAGACAGAUGUGAAAUCCCCGGGCUCAACCCUGGGAACUGCAUUUGUGACUGCACAGCUGGAGUGCGGCAGAGGGGGGAUGGAAUUCCGCGUGUAGCAGUGAAAUGCGUAGAUAUGCGGAGGAACACCGAUGGCGAAGGCAAUCCCCUGGGCCUGCACUGACGCUCAUGCACGAAAGCGUGGGGAGCAAACAGG
Molecule: ribosomal RNA, 255 nt
Filed under: uncultured bacterium
Lineage: Bacteria
Description: partial 16S ribosomal RNA
Rfam family: Bacterial small subunit ribosomal RNA
Source: RNAcentral